AGGCAAGGCCGAAAUUUGGGCUGGGCCGCAUAUUGAAACCAUUCACACAAAAUGGAUCCCGGUCAUAAAAGAGCAGUGGCUGAUCCUAGUCACUAAAGCUGAACCACAUGUGCAGUCACUAAGUACCAAAGCGCUGGAGAUUUAUGAAUCAUCUAAAAUUGCAGCAAUGCCACAUGUUAUAAAAGUUCAAGAACUCGCAGAUCCUUAUUUUCAGGAAAUUAAGAAGUACAGCAAACCAUAUAUUGACCAAGUUGCCACUGCUGCAAGACCAUGUUGAUAAUGUACGAGUUGUCCUGAAGCCUUAUACUGAGCAAGCUUUUCAUGUUUAUGGAAAGUUUCUUGAGUCUGCCAGUACUUAUCAUCAUCAGGUUCAGGGCACUGUCCAAGAAAAGCUGCAGAUGCAUGAUCUUACAAGACCUCUUGCCACAAAAGAGCUAGUGUGGUUUAUUGCUUCUGCUCUGUUGGCUUUACCCAUCAUAGCUGGAUUUAAAAUCUGUUCAGCUAUUUGCUGGAAAAAAACAAAACAUUCCAAUCGACAUGGCCAUUCAAACCAUUUGCGUCGCAGGGCUAAACGGAGUCAUCCAGACAAGUGAUGCCUAGUGAAUUUCAUGCUUUAUGAAUUCAAGGUAUGCCUCUGUACUUCAAGGGAAGCAUUUCACUGCACAAAUUCAAACAUGUACUCCAGCAUGCGCAGCUGUUUGUAAUAACUGUAUAGAUUUUGUCUACGCCUGAGAUGUUACACUACUGAAAUUGCUCCCAUUUAAGGAUGUUACUUUUGAUUGCUGCAGUUGCAUGUUUAAUAUUAAAGGUACAUAUGCACCAAGUAUUUUCAGCAUUUA
Coffea arabica (coffee) is the source of this 839-nucleotide non-coding RNA. NCBI's taxonomy places the organism in Eukaryota, Viridiplantae, Streptophyta, Magnoliopsida, Gentianales, Rubiaceae. The record is from RefSeq and is a predicted model, not a curated record.